UACAGAGGUCUCAAGCGUUGUUCGGAUUCAUUGGGCGUAAAGGGUGCGUAGGUGGCGCCGUAAGUCAGGUGUGAAAUCCCGGGGCUCAACCCCGGAACUGCACUUGAUACUGCGGUGCUCGAGUACUGGAGAGGAGAUUGGAAUUUACGGUGUAGCAGUGAAAUGCGUAGAUAUUCGGAGGAACACCAGUGGCGAAGGCGGCUCACUGGUGCGGUACUGACGCUGAGGUGCGAAAGCGUGGGGAGCAAACAGG
Molecule: ribosomal RNA, 253 nt
Filed under: uncultured bacterium
Lineage: Bacteria
Description: partial 16S ribosomal RNA
Rfam family: Bacterial small subunit ribosomal RNA
Source: RNAcentral